GACGAACGCUGGCGGCGUGCUUAACACAUGCAAGUCGAACGGAAAGGCCCCUUUGGGGGUACUCGAGUGGCGAACGGGUGAGUAACACGUGAGUAACCUGCCCAUGACUUCGGGAUAACUUCAGGAAACUGGGGCUAAUACCGGAUAGGAAUCCUUGCUGCAUGGUGGGGGUUGGAAAGCUUCGGCGGUUUUGGAUGGACUCGCGGCUUAUCAGCUUGUUGGUGGGGUAGUGGCUUACCAAGGCUUUGACGGGUAGCCGGCCUGAGAGGGCGACCGGCCACAUUGGGACUGAGAUACGGCCCAGACUCCUACGGGAGGCAGCAGUGGGGAAUAUUGCACAAUGGGCGGAAGCCUGAUGCAGCAACGCCGCGUGCGGGAUGACGGCCUUCGGGUUGUAAACCGCUUUCAGCAGGGGCGAAGCUUGUGGUGACGGUACCUGCAGAAGAAGCACCGGCUAACUACGUG
Molecule: ribosomal RNA, 465 nt
Filed under: uncultured bacterium
Lineage: Bacteria
Description: partial 16S ribosomal RNA
Rfam family: Bacterial small subunit ribosomal RNA
Source: RNAcentral